GCAGGACGUCCGGCUUCCAGCUCGGAACUUUGGUACUGUCAGCAACCAAACAGCGAAUUAAAUAUGGGUGAUACUGAGAAAGGCAAGAAGAUUUUUGUUCAGAAGUGUGCCCAGUGCCAUACUGUGGAAAAAAGAGGCAAGCACAAGACUGGGCCAAAUCUCCAUGGCCUCUUUGGGAGGAAGACAGGUCAGGCUGCUGGCUUCUCUUACACAGAUGCCAAUAAGAACAAAGGCAUAACCUGGGGAGAGGAUACACUGAUGGAGUAUUUGGAGAAUCCCAAGAAGUACAUCCCUGGAACAAAAAUGAUCUUCGCUGGCAUUAAGAAGAAGGGAGAAAGGGCAGACUUGAUAGCUUAUCUCAAAAAAGCUACAAAUGAGUAAUAGUUGGCCAUUGCCUUAUUUAUUACAAAAAAAU
RNA transcript from Otolemur garnettii (small-eared galago), 415 nucleotides. It is a transcript of the gene named cytochrome c, somatic pseudogene, with no coding region annotated. Lineage: Eukaryota; Metazoa; Chordata; Mammalia; Primates; Galagidae. The record is from RefSeq and is a predicted model, not a curated record. The transcript has a single exon.